AUACGUAGGGUGCAAGCGUUAAUCGGAAUUACUGGGCGUAAAGCGUGCGCAGGCGGUUUUGUAAGACAGAGGGGAAAUCCCCGGGCUCCACCUGGGAACUGCCUUUGUGACUGCAAGGCUAGAGUGCGGCAGAGGGGGAUGGAAUUUCGCGUGUAGCAGUGAAGUGCGUAGAUAUGCGGAGGAACACCGAUGGUGAAGGCAAUCCCCUGGGCCUGUACUGACGCUCAUGCACGAAAGCGUGGGGAGCAAACAGGAUUAGAUACCCUGGUAGUCCACGCCCUGAACGAUGUCAACUGGUUGUUGGGUCUUCAUUGACUCAGUAACGAAGCUAACGCGUGAAGUUGACCGCCUGGGGAGUACGGCCGCAAGGUUGAAACUCAAAUGAAUUGACGG
Molecule: ribosomal RNA, 393 nt
Filed under: uncultured bacterium
Lineage: Bacteria
Description: partial 16S ribosomal RNA
Rfam family: Bacterial small subunit ribosomal RNA
Source: RNAcentral